This 80-nucleotide small RNA is filed under the name Salmonella enterica. RNAcentral's name for it is "partial RtT sRNA". It matches the Rfam family "RtT RNA", at positions 51 to 130 of the family's 130-position model. From Rfam's summary of the family: This family represents a bacterial cis-regulatory element known as RtT RNA. Lineage: Bacteria; Pseudomonadati; Pseudomonadota; Gammaproteobacteria; Enterobacterales; Enterobacteriaceae. The record is from RNAcentral.
AGCGAAGCGAGAGAACGUUGCGUCAGCAACGGCCCGCAGGGCGAGCCACGCAGUGGCGAGUCAUCCUCUAUCACCGGCAG